Molecule: ribosomal RNA, 469 nt
Filed under: Filifactor alocis
Lineage: Bacteria; Bacillati; Bacillota; Clostridia; Peptostreptococcales; Filifactoraceae
Description: bacterial SSU rRNA
Rfam family: Bacterial small subunit ribosomal RNA
Source: RNAcentral
GAGUUUGAUUCUGGCUCAGGAUGAACGCUGGCGGCGUGCUUAACACAUGCAAGUCGAACGAACGACUAUUAACAGAACCUUUCGGGGCGAAGAUGAUAGAAGUUAGUGGCGGACGGGUGCGUAACGCGUGGGUAAUCUGCCUUUGUCAAAGGAAUAACUAUUCGAAAGAAUAGCUAAAACCGUAUAACAUAUUAAUAGGGCAUCCUAAUAAUAUCAAAACGAUAGUGGACAAAGAUGAGCCCGCGUCUGAUUAGCUAGUUGGUGAGAUAAAAGCCCACCAAGGCAACGAUCAGUAGCCGACCUGAGAGGGUGAACGGCCACAUUGGAACUGAGACACGGUCCAAACUCCUACGGGAGGCAGCAGUGGGGAAUAUUGCACAAUGGGGGGAACCCUGAUGCAGCAACGCCGCGUGAGUGAAGAAGGCAUUCGUGUCGUAAAACUCUGUAGUAGGGGAAGAAAGAAAGGACA